RNAcentral lists this ribosomal RNA (449 nucleotides) under uncultured bacterium. RNAcentral describes it as "partial 16S ribosomal RNA". It matches the Rfam family "Bacterial small subunit ribosomal RNA", at positions 330 to 794 of the family's 1533-position model. The record is from RNAcentral.
GCCAGACUCCUACGGGAGGCAGCAGUGGGGAAUAUUGCACAAUGGGGGGAACCCUGAUGCAGCGACGCCGCGUGGGCGAGGAAGUAUUUCGGUAUGUAAAGCCCUAUCGGCAGGGAAGAAGAAAUGACGGUACCUGAAUAAGAAGCACCGGCUAAAUACGUGCCAGCAGCCGCGGUAAUACGUAGGGGGCAAGCGUUAUCCGGAUUUACUGGGUGGAAAGGGGGCGCAGACGGCGAUGCAAGCCAGGAGUGAAAGCCCGGGGCCCAACCCCGGGACUGCUCUUGGAACUGCGCGGCUGGAGUGCAGGAGGGGCAGGCGGAAUUCCUGGUGUAGCGGUGAAAUGCGUAGAUAUCAGGAGGAACACCGGUGGCGAAGGCGGCCUGCUGGACUGCGACUGACGUUGAGGCCCGAAAGCGUGGGGAGCAAACAGGAUUAGAUACCCGCGUAGA